RNAcentral lists this long non-coding RNA (4515 nucleotides) under Capsicum annuum. RNAcentral's name for it is "long non-coding RNA (CANN_LNC003205)". Lineage: Eukaryota; Viridiplantae; Streptophyta; Magnoliopsida; Solanales; Solanaceae. The record is from RNAcentral.
UUAUUUCCCAACUAUUUCCUGUACAAAAAUGUGAGCUAACCUUUUAUGUUUUCAAGAGCUCCGAUCUCAUCCCUAGCGGAUGCCACUUCACUACACUAGAUGACACAUGGUGAGGGCCCCUAAGUAGGUGAUUCUUUAUAAAACAUCACCUCCUUCAUUUUAAUCCCAUAAAAUUGAAAAAAAUCCCCAAAAACAGUCAUAGAGAAAGGUCCUAAAUUCUCCAUAGAUGUUGAUGUUUUCAAGUUAGAAGUUGAACGAAAGUUGCUCUAUGCUGCGAGCUCGUUAUUUUGUUAUAAUUUUCCCCAUUGAAUUUGUAGAAUAUCUCUUCGGGUAUUGUGGGUUACAACUGUGUAUUGAUUUUGUGGCAAUGUUUCAGGUGUGUUUAUCAAGGUAAGAAUCAUUUUUAUCGAUUUAUGUGUAAGUUAGACCCCGAAGAGUAUUUUACUAUAGAAAUUUGUAUGCUGGGUCGAAUAGUCCUAGAACUUCUUGUUAUUUUGGUUGAUUGGAUUUCUACCAUGGUUCAUGAAAAAAAUUUCCCUUUUAAUGUCUCCCUUAAUAUUCUUAAGAUACCAUAUCAAUUCUUGUUAUUUAUUGAGACAAAAAAUGUGUGGCUUCGAGAACCUUCUUAGUUAUGUUAAAAUACUAUAUUUAAGGAGGUAUGGAUGGAGGGAAUUGGUGUAUAUCUAUUAAUAUUCACAUAUGCAAGUUGUCAACUGAGAGAUCAUGAAGUAUGCCUUAAAAUAGUAUCGUGAGAGCUCGUCGCUCCGUCAAGAUAUAGUUUGCAUAUUGUUGUUGGAUUUAGUAAUUGUUUAUAUUUUUUAUUGGAAAAAUUUUAUGCGUUGGUCUUGGGUGGUUGUGACUGUGACACUAAAACCUAUUGAUUGGCCAUAGUGUGUUGCAUCCAUCAUUGAAACGCACUAAUGUGAUUGGGGUAGUAUGGUCGAGCUUUAAGUGAUGCUAAUAGACAUUACAUCGAAAAGGUAUGUUAAGGCCACCCUUCCUUUUGAAAUUUUCCUUUAUAUGCUAAAGUUUGAUAUGGAUAUAUUAUUGUUAAUGAAUAACUUGUAUCCGUAGUAAUUUAUGUUGGAUAUUUUAGUAAAUUAUCACAUCUUGUCAAAACUCUUAUUCCUUUGUUAGUGACCGAGCUCUAGACAUGACCGAAACUUGAGUAUAGAUUAGACAUAGUAUAUGGUCAUUUAUCUUUCUUUGAGCCAUGUAAUUUGUCAGUUUUUUACCUACAAGAUUGUAUUGCCUACUAAAGACACAUCAAUUCUUGUAUGCUCGAGCUACUUAGAGCCUCAAGCUAUCCAAACACCCAGAGCCUAUAGGCAAGGCAGAUACAAAGACUACAAGUCUAAAUAAAUACUGAGCCUAUGGGCUAGAUAGAUAUAGAGACUACGAGCUAGAUAGAUAUAGAUCCUAUGGGAUAGAUAAAAACAAAACCUCUGGGAUAAAAAAAAUCAUACAAAGCCUACAUGGUAGAUAGACUUAUUGAUUAGGGGUUAAUUGGUACAAGUGAACUAUAAGGUCCAGUUAUGUUCAACAGGGGUAGUUAGAUUACAAUGCAAACUAUCGUGCUUAUGGAGUCCCAAGUUUUUUGCUUGAUUUUUGUAUGUACCUACAAACAAGGCUUAUGGGAGGAAGGAUAGGUUAUUGUUUUCUUAGUUGAUUAUUUAUUUUAUAUUAGAGAAGGUAAAUAUGUUUAAGUUCUUUGAUGCUCAUGUCUUGUUAUCUUCAACUAAUAUAAUCUAAAUCUAGUUCAUCCUUUUAGCUUGCCUUCAUACUUGGUACUUUAUUUUAUACCGAAGAUUAGAGCCUGAGGGUUCUUUAUUCAUCCCUGCAGGUCUCGGCGGAUGACCAGAUAGGCCUUCCAAGUAGCAUUAUCAAACUCCAAUAGGUUGGAUAGCUUAUUUCUUUUGGAGUUGCUAGAGUUUCUACAGUUUUUGUGCCUUUUAGGGUAAAUAUUUCUUAGGUAGGUUAGGUAUAAUACCCCGUACCUUUUUCUAGCACAAAAUCAUCUCGAGAAUGUUAGAACUUGCUUUGAAAUAUGAAUCUAUUUUUGUACAUGUGGUAUUCCUAAGAUUUUCACUUUUUGUCACGUGGAAAAUCAAAUAAGCUUUCCAUUGAUACCAAUUUCAUCAAUAUACAGUGUCAAAUGAGAAAGUUAUGGUCAAAAUCCAGAAGGCAAUCAGACCUUCUAGAUGUGACGAGACAGGCCGAUGGACCAUCAGACAAGCGAUAGACCGUCAACCAUGACCGUCGCAUCAAGGCAGUGAGCUAGCUUUCUAGAUGAGUACAACGGAGAUUCCGACGGAUCAUCAGACUAGCGACAGACCGUCGCACCCCACCAUCUCACCGAGGUAGUAAGCUCCAGUUCUGUCUUAGUCCAACAGACCAUCGACCCAGCAUGGACCAUCGUACCCCACCGUCGCAUAUCCUGCUUAGUAUUUUUAAGUCAUUUUAACAGGGGUAUUUUUAUCUUUUACCACCCACUUAUAUAUACCCGGUUAUAUCCGACCUCAGCUCAUUUGUUCAUUAUUAUUUCACAACAACAAAAUUCGAGUUUUCUCUCUAAAAUUAAUCCCCAAGAAUAAAAUACAAAUCUUUUUCAAGAACUAAAAGAUUCCAAUCCUUCAAGUUCAAGAACUUCCAGAAACUCAACCCAUGUAUGCAUAAUGUUCAUUCAUGGACUUCUUUCGUCCAUGAAGCCCAGGAAUCUCUUUUCUAAGUUAAAGUUUAUGGAUUUUCUUUAUGAAUUUAAUGAUUGGGCUGCUCUUGUUCAUGUUGACAAUGAGUAAUUGAAUUCUAUUUCAUGUUGGGUAACAAAUUGUAUGUGGAUUUGAUUAGUAUAGAUGUAAUGUCAUGUAAACCUAUGAUUAAACUCUUGAAUGAUGAAAUUACAUUUGAAUCAUGAUGUUUAAUUGUUGUAUAAUGUGUUCUGCACUUACUAUGCCUACCAUGUGUUUGAUUAAAUGCCUAGAUGAAGAAAAUACCCAACUAGCAUGAUAUCAUGAAAUCCCCAUGUAUGUACAAGUUUAUGCCUAUCACCUGUUUGAUGAAAUGCUUCAAUAAAGGAGUUAUGGAUGAUGGUGAUCAUUAUGUGCUCAAGUAAGCCAUACUUUUUUAGUUUCCUUCUAUCGUGUCCUGGGGGUACUUGUACCCAAAACAUUAGUUGUAUGCCUAGAGCCAUGUCAUGUUUUCACGAUACUCUUAGUAAACCCAUGAUACUUAGACUUUACAUAGUCCUAUAACUCAUGAAUCUCAAUAAUCUCAAUAAGUUAUCAGAUCUAAGAAAUAUUCCGUUAAUCAAUGUAACUCGGUUAACUCAGUCCAAUUUAGUUUAGAUAAUCAUGUCCAGAGUCCAUUUAGAUUGGAGUAGGAAUUAGCACCGAGUGAACCUAAGGAUGGGAACAUACAUUGUCAGAUGAGGGUGUGAUUUUUAGAAGUCAUCCUUGCAUUCCAGAAAUAUGUAGCUAGCAUAGGUCGAGACAUCAACACUGUUCGAUGAGGGUUGAUGAGGUGGAUAAACAGUGUUAGAUGAGGGUCCCACCGUUCUCAUUUAGGGGACACUAUUAGAAAAGGGUCACCCAUAGCUUGUCUUUAUCAGUAGCACGAUAUUGGUACCCUUCCAAUUGAGGUUACAGAUUGGGCCCCAACUCAACCAUAAUGGCGUAUUAGGGGCAUGUCAGUUAGAUAACUACUUCCCAUAGUUUCAGUAUCAGUACCAGACAAGAACUCAUAUAGUUCUUUAGAUUCCAGGACUGUCAGAUACAGUCAACCCAGUUUAGUAUGUAACUCAGAUAAUUCCAUCAGAAUCAGGAAUGUUAGAUACAAUCACUCAUGUUAUCAGUUAUAUCAGUAUCAGUAUGUUAUGUUAGCAGUAUUCAGAUUUAGUAAUCAUGUUAUCAUGGUAUUAGUGUCAGUUAUUAUGUCUCAUAUAUGUAUUCUCAUGCUCAUGAUAGUCAGUCUGUUAUUGUUAUUGUUCAUACAUAUGAACCCCAUGCAUUUAGUCUACCUCACAUACAUCCCGGUACAUUUAGUCGUACUGAAGCAUUCGUGCUAUGGUGUCUUAUACCAUAGGUUCAAAGGCAUGCGCUCCAGAGCAUCAGUAGAUUCCAGAUAUCAGCAGUCAGAGUUAGCAGUGAGUCCUCAUCCUUUGAGGAGAUGAUUAUUUCUCUAUUAUCUAAUUAAUUAGUUUAUUAGUUGGAUUUAGUUGGGGACAUGUCCUAUCAACUCCUCAUUCAAAUAGUUCAGUCAGUUAGAGGCUUUCCAGACUGUUAUGUUCAGUUAGUUUAUUUCAGUUGUUUUAGAUAUUUCAUACCCUAUUUAGAUGUUAUACUUUUCAUCAGAUAUUAUAUUAUAGUUUGAACCUUAUGGACUUUCAGUUCAUGUUUUCACAUUAUUUAGUAUUUUAUACAGUAUACAGGUAUAGAUAUCAGUCAUGGGUUAGCUUGUGGUCCUUCAGGGUCUUGAGCACCGUGUAACGUUCUGGGUACCAGAUUUGAAGUGUUACAU